UGUUUACCCCCCUCACCCCCCCCCCUUUUCUUUCUUUCAGUUCUGGUAUGCGAAGCAGAGUGUUGUGCAAGCACCCGUGUCAUAUAGACUUUUGUGCUGCGAUCUGUGGCGGCUUUUCACUUUGAGGAGUUGGGUAUUUAGGUCCUUGGUGAAGUGGAAGUUUUUAUUUCAUUCCGAGAAGUUGUUGGGCGGCUUGGAAGGAGUGGUGUCGACUUCACUCGGGUUUGGGCGGAAGUGUUUAUUAAGAAGCUUUGUAGAAGAAUCUUUUAUGGUGUUGGGUUUUUGAAUGUGGCAGAUAGAGUGGUGUGGUUCGUUGGUGAUAAGCCUUUGAGGGUUGUCUUGAUCGGGGUGUGCAUUGCAGUUUGGUUUGUCUGUUGAGGGAAGUAGCAGUUGCGAGGCUUUAGGUUUUUAGCUAGCCAACGUCUGCAACGCUGUGACGAUUGUGGGAAGGAUUGGAGACGAGAGUUGUGUGAGAGAGAGAGAGAAAAUGACGCUGAGGACUCUUCGCAAACUUCGAAAGUUUUCACCCUUUUACUCUAGGGUGCCUGCCACCGAAGGUUCAGAUUCAGACGGGGCAAUGCGUUCUGGUGCGCCUUCUCGGUUCUCCUUCACAUGGUUCCAGCGCGCAUUCUCGAACGGUUCAACGUAUGGUCGCGUUCCGUUGUCAGAGAGUCCUAAGCGGGAACUGAGAAUGAGGUCGGAGACGAAAGCCAGGCGACAUCAAGACCACUCUAAAACGCGCAAGAAGCGUUACUCUCGGGUGUGGUGGUGAAAAUCUCGAUCAACAGGGGCUUGCUGGACUUCCCCCUUUGACACUGCGAUUGUGUAAGAUCCGCGAUUCUUACCGCUGGAAGAAUAGCGAUGCCGGGACGAGAGCUUAUUUCUGGCGUUUUUCCUGUUCUUCGUCUCUGUCGAACAUCUUCAUCGUCACGUCUCAAGUCCCUGGUUCUACUUGUUUCUUCCGAUACACACAAUAAUGCUCUUACAUGAAUGCCUGAUGGAAGGGGAGAGGUCGAGGCUGGCAAAGAGAAUGAGAUUUGCAAACACCUCUGGUGUGGACUUUCCCAGCCACAAAGUUUUGUUUGGAUUAGGUCAAUGUGUUACAGAUUUUUUUGUCAGGAGUCGGAAUUAGUCGCUGGAAAUGGCAGCUGAGUUUUCACCUUGUAGAUACUUAUUUGAUCUUCUACUGGAUAAACAGCCCAUUCUCAAAAGGUCUGUAGGUAGAGAGUUGGGCAAGUCUGCUUAAUACGCGCUUCCUCUUUCUAAAAUGAGUAUAGGACAUAAACGAGGUUGUAACGCAACCGUACCUCAAUGUGUUAUCCUCAUCAAUUUUCACACCUUUUCAACCCGCUUUGGGCUUUGUACAAUUGACGUCUCAGAAACCUGAACGUCUUGCAAUGGUUAUCUUGUCAAUGCCGCUAGGAGAGUCGUUCAUGCAUGUCAGCGUCCAGGAUCUCCUUUUGAUGUUGAAUUCUUUUAGUGUUUCAGCGUUUCCGUAAGAGAAUUGUAGUUUAGCAUGCGGCACAGAAGGUGAUAAUCAUUGUUGCAGGUCACCUAUCAAGUGGGCGUGGCUGUUACACUAUCAAGGGCGCUCUUCGAACGAAUCCUUGCGUGAAACGCAUCAAUUCGCCAUCACAACUCUCGGCAGCCGCAGGAUGGGCAUGCAUCGAGGGAUUCUGUGUAUAUCUCCGUGGGUGGACUCACUUUUGGUCUCAAGGAGGGUGAUGUUCUCGGUCUUUUGAUGAAAACAAAGACUGAUGAAUUGGGUAUGAGCGUGAGAGAGAAAGAGAGAUACUACCGCCGACGGGCUGCGGCAUUGAGGGAAAGAUGACACUAGAAUGUCAGAUCCCCUUACACACAUUCAAGACGCACUACCAAGAUUGCAUAGAGAAACCGAGCUGGGUUAAGAAUCUCUGAGAACAGGGCCAUUCGUCUUGAACUCUUUCACCUGCUCAACGUAAAGGGUGCCGAAGACUUCUACGUUUGAGGGCCGGAAACUAUGGAAUUGUAAUGUAAGAAAAUAAAACACACACACUGAAACAGCGAUCAAUUGGCUUUUUACCAUAAUAGAUUGGGCAAUAAGUCAGACAGAUGAUUAGGCAUAAAAAAUUCAAUGAAAGGAUAAAAUCCUAAAUUCAGUCACUAAAUUCAAUCACACAAUUGUUUAUAACAGUAGUAAAGAUUUGUAAAGUUAUUUAAAUUAUUGUCACAACUAUAAUGGGAGCCAUGCGAAAGAUCACUCCCAUGGGGUGUAGAAUAUAAAAGUGUAUUUUGGGGAAAAAAAAAACAAUAUAACACUCAAACUCCUCGACACGAUCCGGAAUUCAAACAUCA
This is a non-coding RNA of Physcomitrium patens, 2334 nucleotides long. NCBI's taxonomy places the organism in Eukaryota, Viridiplantae, Streptophyta, Bryopsida, Funariales, Funariaceae. The record is from RefSeq and is a predicted model, not a curated record.